GCAGAAGGCAAGUUAUUUUCAAUUUGGUGGAAGUGGCAACUACCGAAACAUGGAGAAGACCGUGCUUUACAAAUUUAUGUGUGACACUGAAGGAUGUGGGCCCCAGAUGUGAUCCUAGAGAAGCUGACCCCAAGGACUGCGGGGCUCUCUAUGGUUUAUGAGGCUGUUAACUCUUACUCUGUGUUCCCCAAAAUAGAGCUCUACGUGACCCCACAGUGUCUGACAGGGCUCUGAGUGACACGGACGACAGGGCUGGAAUGGGCUCCGAGGUCUGAUAGAGGUGCAAUUCCAUUUCGGUUUCCGCCAUUGUCCCUGCAGCAUUUCUUCCUCGCAGGUUAGCAGGCAGGUUUCAGGGAAUCUGAGGCUGGGAACAAGUGUAGGUGUCUCUCUGUGUACGUGAAAAGCCUUUAAUGCAAUUUUCUCUGCAUGCAAAUUGACAUAUCUUCGCAGUGAUGACUAUAUCCUGAAGUUAUGCUUGUUGUAAUCUUCAUAAGCGUGCUUUUGCUGGAGAGGUGAAUAAUAUCAGACUUCAAAGAAAUGUAGAUGACUAAGUGUGCUUCCAAAAUGAGUGACUUUUCCAGCUGCAAAAACCUGCCUCAGACCCACACUGAUU
This is a long non-coding RNA of Rhinichthys klamathensis goyatoka, 613 nucleotides long. RefSeq lists it as uncharacterized. The record is from RefSeq and is a predicted model, not a curated record. The transcript is spliced from 4 exons. Lineage: Eukaryota; Metazoa; Chordata; Actinopteri; Cypriniformes; Leuciscidae.